UUGAUUCAGGGACCAUGUUCAGAAAUUCCGUGAGGAAGCGUCAGGGAGUUUUUGUGUAUAAGGACUGUCUGGUUUUGCUGAGUUACCCUAGUGGCCUUAGGUAGUAUAUAUAGUUAAUAUGACAGUCAGACCAAAAAUUGUGGGUAGGCUGUAGAGGGGGUGGGAUAUACCACAGAAACCAUUUCGAAUGUAUUGUUUUUAUGCAGUGCUCUGCUUUAGAGAAAACGUGGCUAGGAAAUUAAAUAUUGUGGUGUCUUGAAUUGUUGCCUGGCAUCACUGAUUUCCCUUUUCUCUUCCACUUUUAAAUCACUCUGGGUUUAUUGUAUGGAAAACAACUAUACAUACUUGCUUAUCUGCAAGAAUAUAAUGAGAAAAAUAUAAAAUGUGGUUGUCAUUUUUGGGGGCUGCACCCAUGGCAUGCAGAAGUUCCCAGGACAGAGGUCGAACUGUGCCACAGCUGCCACCCAAGCCACAGCAGUGACAAUGCCAGGUCCUUAACCCACUGUACCACCAGGGAACUCCUUGUAGCUUAUGAAUGGCCAUAGUUUCUCUAAUGUGCAACAUUGUGACCUAAUACGAAUAGGUAACAUUAUUGAGUUCCUGCUAUGUCCCAAGUGUUUUACAUUUAUUUUAUUUUAUCCUCAUGGCAGCUUUAUGAGUUAGGUACUGUUACUCUUUGCAGAAUAGGAAACUGAGACACACAGAGGUUAUGUAACCUAAAGUAACACAGCUGGUAGGCUGAAUAGGCUUUAAACAUGCAUCUCUGAAUUGACAGAGCUUUUAACUAUCCAGACACCAGGUAUCUGAUGGUCUUUCUCCCACUAUGUUUCCACGUUUCCCCCCCCCCUACUUUUUUUUUGGCCAUGACAUGUAGUGGAUUGUUGUGGGAUCUCAGUUCCCAGACCAGGGAUUGAACCUGGGCUGCAGCAGUGAAAGCAUGGAAUCCUAAUCACUUGACCACCAGGGAGUUCCCUUUAUUCUACUUUUUAAAAUCUUGAAACUUUUCUGGUUAUUCUCUUACUAUUUCCUGAGUGGCUACAUCUGCAAUCAGGUAAUUGUUAGUAAUAACAAAUACGUAGUGUUUGUUAUCUGUCAGUAUUGUUGUUUGAAGUAUAUUUUGUGUUUUAGCUCAUUUGAUUCCUAUAACAACCCUAUGAGAUAGGCAUUCUUAUCAUCUCCCUUUUACAGAUGAGUAAACUGAACACAGAGAGGUUAAGUAACAUGUCCAAGGCCACACAUUUAUUAAGUGGCAGAGUCUGGGUUCAGAUUCAAGCCAUCUAACCCCAGUGUCUAUCCGUUUAACCACUACCCAUCCUGCUUCUUUAGUUUUAAUUUAUUUUCUUAAAAGCUGCCUCUUUUUCACAUACUAAUUUUGAUGAUGACAAAUUAAAUGAUCAAAAUUAGUUUUGCCUGUAUAAAAACUAAGAUAUAUUUAUGCCUCUCUCCCUAAUUUCUUUUAAAAGCUAAGAUAGUUUGAAUGGGGAUAACAGAGUUUUCUUUUUCUUUUAAUGUCCACACCCAUGACAUAUGGAGGUUCCUGAGCCAGGGAUUGAAUCCAAGCUGCUGCUGUGACCUACACUGCAGCUGCAGCAAGGCCAGAUCCUUUAACCCACUGUGCCAGGGAUAGAACCUGUGCCUGUGCAGCAAUCCAAGCUGCUGAAGUCAGAUUCUUAACUCCUUGAAUUAUUAUUUAUAUUUAAUAAUAAUUUGUGGUUUAUAAGUCCUUUAUGGAGAACUUUUGAGUCCUUUUGCUUGUUAAGCAUAUAUUUAAUCAGCUUAUACUUGGGGCAUGGAUAUUUGUGUCUUCGCUCACUGAAAACACAGAAGUAUAUUUGAAUUUGGCCUAAAUAUUGUUGAAGAAGAAUCUGCUCCUGAUCCCACUGGAAAACAACAACACUAAAAUCAGAAUAUUCCACUCAUCAGGGUUCCUGUCCUGGCUCAGUGGAAACAAAUCCGACUAGGAAUCAUGAGGUUUUGGGUUUGAUCUCUGACCUUGCUCAGUGGGUUAAGGAUCUGGCAUUGCUGUGGCUGUGGUGUAGGCCAGCAGCUACAGCUCCAAUUGGACCCCUAGCUAGGGAACCUCCAUAUG
RNAcentral lists this long non-coding RNA (2089 nucleotides) under Sus scrofa (pig). Its description in RNAcentral is "lncRNA (ENSSSCG00000059644.1)". Lineage: Eukaryota; Metazoa; Chordata; Mammalia; Artiodactyla; Suidae. The record is from RNAcentral.